Molecule: long non-coding RNA, 1541 nt
Organism: Pseudophryne corroboree (corroboree frog)
Lineage: Eukaryota; Metazoa; Chordata; Amphibia; Anura; Myobatrachidae
Exons: 3
Source: RefSeq, a predicted model, not a curated record
GCCCAGUCUCCUGCGGAGCCCGUCUAUACCCCAUGGUCCUUACGGAGUACCCAGCAUCCACUACGGACUACGAGAAAUAGAAUUACCGGUGAGUAAAUUCUUAUUUUUACUGGAAACAGUCACACAUAAUUAUGUUUGGCGCUACCAAGUCACGCACUAGAAGGGCUUUUUAAUGUGCAGGGAGGCUAGCUGUAAGUGGACACAUCUGUUAUUUUAUCCAGAAUCCUGUGUUCUUGAAAAACCAAGCUGUUUCAUGGAUGUAGAUUUAUCAAACCUUGGAGAGAAUUAAAGUGGAGAGAGGUAAAGUAUCAGCCAAUCUACUUCUGCCAAUUUUCAAACACAGCUUGUAAAAUGACAGGAGCUGAUUGGCUGGUACUUUAUCUCUCUCCAAUGUUUUAUACAUCUUCCCCUUUAUUUUAAAUGUGCAGCUUCUGUUCCUUUAAUUUGUGUUGACAGGAUUGUCAGAUAAGUGCACAUUUAGUCAGAGAAAUUAGAUGAUGCUGCUUUGCGUUUCCGAUACAAAGCCACAAGCGGCCUACUGUGAGUAUCUAGGUCAUGAUUUAUUUUCUAGACCAUACAUAUAUUUUCUAAAGUUUUUUUAAACAUUUUAAAUGAAAGCGAUGAUGCUGCUGUCCGUCUUUACAAACCAGUUCUAUAAUCAGUAUGACCUCUUCAUAUUAUAGUACUGUGCACAAUAAUGUUAGUGCCGCUGACAGAAUGUAUAAAGGUGCUCUUCAUUCCGUUGCUGUUCCUCCUAGUAAAAGAAAACAAAUUAAUGUGUAUGUAGUGUACUAUGAAUCAGGGCUGGAUUUCCCACAAUGUAACCUAGGUGUCCUCCUAAGUCUCAGUGGGUCUCAAGGUGUCCAUAGUCAGGACCCACGAAAUCCGGCCCAUCCAUGUUCGAUCACAAAGGCUGACUACUAGUUCAAUGUUUUACAGAGGCUCAGUAACAAGGCUCAGACCAGUAUUAACAUCACUAAUACUGCCACUGAGAUUCAUUACUGUGCCCCUGCAAAAUGUUCCCAUAAGAGCACUGUGUGACGACCACAUGGCUUCAUGGUGUCACAUGGUCCCACCCGCACUCCCAGAGUCCCACUGUCUGCAUUGUAUUAGAGGGCCCCCAGCCACAGUACAGUAGUACCUGCCACUGCCAGCACGCAGUAACAGUGAGGGACGGAGAGAGGCAGAGUCAGACUGCAGAGUGGGAGCGAUGGGACGUGUGUACAGCGUGCGCCGCGUUCAUACGCGGUGACGUCACUUGCCGGUGCCAGAGACCCGGGCCGGGACUCCCGCGCCCGGGAGCGCCGCCAAUCACUGGGCUACAGCAUGUUUGUUAGAGGGGAUUUAAGGCUGCCUUAUGAUGGAAAAAUAGCACUUUCUCUAACUGGUUUAUCUACAGCACUAAAGAUGUGUGUCAUUCUGCAUAUGGCUGCAUUUUCUGCGCACAUGUAUUUUACACUAAACAAACAGACUUAAAUAUCUGAAACUCAGCAGGAGGACCUAUGUUUCUAUAAAGUACUUCUCAUCAUUUGAAAUGGAAA